AGCGAACGCUUUCUUCCUUCCUAACACAUGCAAGUCGAACGAACCUGUCGGGGUUAGUGGCGGUCGGGUGAGUAACACGUGGUAACUUGCCUUUAGGUUCGGAAUAACUCAGUGAAACUUGUGCUAAUACCGAAUGUGCUCUUCGGGGGAAAGAUUUAUCGCCUUUAGAUCGGCGCGCGUCUGUUUAGCUAGUUGGUUGAGGUAAUGGCUAGCCAAGGCUAGGAGCAGUAGCUGGUCUGAGAGCAUGAUACGUCACAUUGGCGCUGAGACACGGCCCACACUGCUACGGGAGGCAGCAGUGGGGAAUAUUGCGCACUGGGCGCAAGUGUGACGAAGCCAUGUCGGGUGAAUGAUGCAGGUCUUAGGAUUGUACAAUUCUUUGUCAGGAGACGAUAAUGACGGUAAUCGGUGAAGAAGCACCGGCUAACUUCGUG
RNAcentral lists this ribosomal RNA (434 nucleotides) under uncultured bacterium. RNAcentral's name for it is "partial 16S ribosomal RNA". It matches the Rfam family "Bacterial small subunit ribosomal RNA", at positions 29 to 507 of the family's 1533-position model. The record is from RNAcentral.